RNAcentral lists this long non-coding RNA (1643 nucleotides) under Vulpes vulpes (red fox). RNAcentral's name for it is "lncRNA (ENSVVUG00000019549.1)". The record is from RNAcentral. Lineage: Eukaryota; Metazoa; Chordata; Mammalia; Carnivora; Canidae.
CUGUCCCGCAGGAGGAGUCCCCGGGCCCCUCGGAGCGGCCGCCGCCGGGGCUGAGCCCUGCGAUCCCCUCGCCGGGCGGGGAUGAGGGCAGGUCCCGCCGGGGGCACGCGCAGGCUGCGCACCCAGGACAAGGACACUUUGGGAGUGAGCAUCUUCCGGGGACGCUGCUGCUGGGAGAUGAGUUGCGGAACAAGCUAUAUAGUUUAUACACACACACAGGACAUGAAGAUCUUUGAGGGUGACCAACUCAUGGCAUUUGAGCCAAGAAAGAAGGCUUUGUUUGUUGUCACGUUGAGAUGUUUAUAUCCCUGCCCAACCAUUUCUUAAAAGGGGAGCAGGGAAUAGGGGACUUGGGAAGUCCACCUUCCUUAUUUUUGAAGUAUAUGGAAUUAUAAACACCUAUCAUAGAAUUGGUAUGCUGAUUAUAUAUGUUAAUACAUGAAAACAUUAGAACAAUUGGCAUAUAUUAAGUACCCAAAAUGUAUUCUGUAUUGCUGCUAUUGUGAUAGAAUGAGAUAAUGCAUCUAAAAGCACUACUUGAUUUAUAGUAAGUUGUUAAUAAGUGUCACCUGUUUUUAUUGGCCCUCUCUCUAGAGAAAUUACAUUUACAUACACAAACAAAUUACAUAUGUCCUCAAGAGUUUAUGGAGCCCUAGAGACCUGGCUAAGCCUUCUAAUAGGCCUCAGAGAUACGAUGAUGAAUAAGAAAGACAUCGUUCCUGACUUCAUGGUGCUUUUUAGCUAAGCAGUGUCCAAGGAUUGUCCUAAAUAUGUUCAGUGGUCAGAAGAUGGGCUUAAGAUCUGGGCACAAAUUUCAGCCUUGCUCUCUGCCAGCUGUGUAUCCUUGAAUAAGUUAAUAUUUCUGUGCCUGAGUUUUAAAAACUUAUAAAAUGAGGAUAAUAGUCAUUACUUGCAAAGUAUAUGUGUAUUAAUUCUUGUAUUAUUUAUAUCAAACAUUUUAUCUGUUGAAUGUUUGAUACUUUGUCUAUAUUUCAGUAAAGAAGAAUCACAUUUAUCUAUGAAAGCAAAAAGUCAACAUAAACAUCUAGGCAAUGUCUCUCCAUCUCAUUUAAAGUAUUGGCUAAUAAUGUCAUCUGGGCACAUUAAUUUAGUUUAGUUUUUUUUUUAUUUUUGAAUCUUUGAGUAUUGUUCCUCUAGUUCAUACACUGUCUCAUGUUUUGCUCGUGCUCUUAGCUUACUUAGGAUUAUGACAUCUGUCCCAGUAUUUGCUCUUUUUUUUUUUAAAGAUUUUAUUUGUUUAUUCAUGAGAGACACAGAGAGAGAGGUAGAGACAUAGGCAGAGGGAGAAGCAGGCUCAUGCAUGGUGCUCAAUACCAGGACCCCAGGAUCACAACAUGAGUGGAAGGCAGAUGCUCAACCACUGAGCCAACCAGUUGCCCUUGCUCGUUUGUUUCUUUUGCAUUUACUUGUUUCAGAUAUCAUGGUUAUAAGUUGCACAUAAGGGAUGCCUGGGUGGCUCAGUGGUUGAGCGUCUGCCUUUGGCUCAGGAUAUGAUCUUGGAGUUCCAGGGUCAAGUCCUGCAUCGGGCUCUCCUGCUUCUCUCUCUGCCUAUGUCUCUGCCUCUCUCUCUGUGUCUCUCAUGGAUAAAUAAAUAAUACAAUCUUAAAAAAAAUGUUUAAAAU